ACAUGUGUCGGAGAAAAAUAUGAUUCUCGUAUAAUAUAUAAUAUGCAUACUGCGCAUACCUUUAACAAAAUGUUAUUAUAUUAUGACAUUUGACUGCGCUCGAUAAACAAUUCGUACCUAAUAAUAGUAUUAUUGUAUUCUAUGAAUCACGCAUACUUUGGAAAUUUCAAGCAUUACGGACCUAUGAGAAACACCGACAAUAUUUAUUUGGAGGCGAAUUUCAUUACUCAUCGUUCGUCUUGUACAGUAAAACGGCAGUGCUCGAAUUGACAUU
Molecule: non-coding RNA, 274 nt
Organism: Cinara cedri
Lineage: Eukaryota; Metazoa; Arthropoda; Insecta; Hemiptera; Aphididae
Source: the annotation of a GenBank genome assembly